UAUCCACUGAUAACACACUUUGAUGACCUUAAUGAGCAAACAAAAACACCUGGCUCGUCUGAGGGGCGCCAGUGAGCAGAGCUGUGGACUACUUGAGGGAACGUGAUAUGAGACUUUAUAAAUAUUCGCACUUGACAACAAAACCAUGACUUUAAAGCUAGAAAAACCGACAAGUGAUUAAGGGAGAUCAUGUCUCUGUUACUCUUGGAACUUAGAAAAACAUCUCUAGAGCAGGAAGGAAGAUAUUCGAAGGAGUGUGUUUCUCUCCUCUCAUCAUGGAGAAAAUGGACCCGAGAAACUUUUCUUUGGACCUUCUGCUGAGAGAAAGCAAAGCCAGAGGAGGAAUUUGUCUCAGAAGUACUUCACAGUCUGACAACUGCCAGACCACUGCGAAACAGAGACAGGGAAUGGGACGACAGUGGUGGGCAGGACAACACCUUGACUGCUUAGUUAUCUACACCGGCCCUUUAUUUAACCUAAACACCUGUCAGGACUGCGGAGAUGAAAUGGAGAUGGGUGGCUCACUGGACAUUUUUUGUUAGUUUUCUUUCCAAGGUUGUUUUACUGAUUAAAUCUUUUUU
Molecule: long non-coding RNA, 581 nt
Organism: Mastomys coucha (southern multimammate mouse)
Lineage: Eukaryota; Metazoa; Chordata; Mammalia; Rodentia; Muridae
Exons: 2
Source: RefSeq, a predicted model, not a curated record